CUGCCCGUAGCUCAGCUGGACAGAGCAUCGGCCUUCUAAGCCGAGGGUCGGGAGUUCGAAUCUCCCCGGGCAGGCCA
Molecule: transfer RNA, 77 nt
Filed under: Acidobacteriota bacterium
Lineage: Bacteria; Pseudomonadati; Acidobacteriota
Also listed under: 4 other names
Description: Acidobacteria bacterium tRNA-Arg
Rfam family: tRNA
About the family: Transfer RNA (tRNA) molecules are approximately 80 nucleotides in length. Their secondary structure includes four short double-helical elements and three loops (D, anti-codon, and T loops).
Source: RNAcentral